GAUGAACGCUGGCGGCGUGCCUAAUACAUGCAAGUCGAACGCUGAAGGAGGAGCUUGCUCUUCUGGAUGAGUUGCGAACGGGUGAGUAACGCGUAGGUAACCUGCCUGGUAGCGGGGGAUAACUAUUGGAAACGAUAGCUAAUACCGCAUGACAACAGUUAUUGCAUGAUAACUGUUUAAAAGGGGCAACUGCUCCACUACCAGAUGGACCUGCGUUGUAUUAGCUAGUUGGUGAGGUAACGGCUCACCAAGGCGACGAUACAUAGCCGACCUGAGAGGGGGAGCGGCCACACUGGGACUGAGACACGGCCCAGACUCCUACGGGAGGCAGCAGUAGGGAAUCUUCGGCAAUGGACGGAAGUCUGACCGAGCAACGCCGCGUGAGUGAAGAAGGUUUUCGGAUCGUAAAGCUCGGUUGUAAGAGAAGAACGAGUGUGAGAGUGGAAAGUUCACACUGUGACGGUAGCUGACCAGAAAGGGACGGCUAACUACGUG
Molecule: ribosomal RNA, 495 nt
Filed under: uncultured bacterium
Lineage: Bacteria
Description: partial 16S ribosomal RNA
Rfam family: Bacterial small subunit ribosomal RNA
Source: RNAcentral